This 47-nucleotide non-coding RNA is filed under the name Schistosoma mansoni. Lineage: Eukaryota; Metazoa; Platyhelminthes; Trematoda; Strigeidida; Schistosomatidae. The record is from RNAcentral.
AUCCAGCUGACGAAUCCCACAUAGGACGAAACGCGACGAAACUGGAU